CAAUAGCGUAUAUUAAAGUUGUUGCAGUUAAAAAGCUCGUAGUUGGAUUUCUGGUAGGAGUGACCGUUCCGAACUUGAUUGUUCGUGUAUUGUGGUUUCUCCAGCCAUCCUUGUGGAGAACUUUUCUUGCAUUAAUUUGUAGGGAUUGGGACCCGCAUCGUUUACUGUGAAAAAAUUAGAGUGUUUAAAGCAGGCAAUCGCUUGAAUACAUUAGCAUGGAAUAAUAAGAUAGGACUUUGGUACUAUUUUGUUGGUUUGCAUACCAAAUUAAUGAUCAACAGGAACAGUUUGAGGAUAUUCGUAUGAACAUGUCAGAGGUGAAAUUCUUGGAUUUUGAUCAGACGAACUACUGCGAAAGCAUUUAUCAAGGAUGUUUUCAUUAA
This 383-nucleotide ribosomal RNA is filed under the name uncultured eukaryote. RNAcentral's name for it is "partial 18S ribosomal RNA". It matches the Rfam family "Eukaryotic small subunit ribosomal RNA", at positions 592 to 976 of the family's 1831-position model. The record is from RNAcentral.